AAUAUUUUAUGUGCAGUUUUCAAGUUCCUGGUGUAAUAUUUACAUGUAAGAAACCUUUUAUUUCAAGAUGCAAACCCCCUAUUUUUUAAAAAAUUGGUUUUUUUGCUCUGAAGUGAUUUUUUAGAUAACCACUUAAGACAGGAACAAAAGUGGUCUCAUAUGUGUGGUAUCUCUUAUUUGUUUUCAGAUUUUGCAUGCUGCCUGGUAUGCCCAGCCCUUCAAUUACCUCACUGCUAAUGUCAGCUUAGUUACCAGAUAUAUUUUACAAUUAUACAGUGCGUGUCUCAAAGAAUCAUCCAGAUAUCAAAGUACUACUCCAGCUCAUUAGUGCUCCCUGCUGUGCCUAAAUAUAACUUUGUAUCUGGCAACACCUCCUAGCUGCAUAAGGACUGUUUGGCCUCCUCCAAGAUCCAGCAAAAAAAGGGUGCACUGUGAUAUGUGUUGAGGUAAGUUUGUG
Molecule: long non-coding RNA, 457 nt
Filed under: Cyanistes caeruleus (blue tit)
Lineage: Eukaryota; Metazoa; Chordata; Aves; Passeriformes; Paridae
Description: lncRNA (ENSCCEG00000010498.1)
Source: RNAcentral